GACGAACGCUGGCGGCGUGCUUAACACAUGCAAGUCGAACGAAGUGGCGAACGGGUGAGUAACGCGUAAUCAACCUGCCCUUCAGAGGGGUACAACAGUUGGAAACGACUGCUAAUACCGCAUACUUAAGGAGGGGAUUGCGUCUGAUUAGCUAGUUGGAGGGGUAACGGCCCACCAAGGCGAUGAUCAGUAGGCGGUCUGAGAGGAUGAACGGCCAAAGUGGGACUGAGAAACGGCCCAGACUCUUACGGGAGGCAGCAGGUGGGAAUCUUCCGCAAUGGACGAAAGUCUGACUGAGCAACGCCGGGGGAGGGAUGACGGCCUUCGGGGUGUAAAGAUCUGUUAAUCGGGACGCGGUACCGGAAUAGAAAGCCACGGCUAACUACGUGCCAGCAGCCGCGGUAAUAC
RNAcentral lists this ribosomal RNA (408 nucleotides) under uncultured bacterium. RNAcentral describes it as "partial 16S ribosomal RNA". It matches the Rfam family "Bacterial small subunit ribosomal RNA", at positions 28 to 526 of the family's 1533-position model. The record is from RNAcentral.